GACAGGGGUCUCGAGCGUUAAUCGGAAUUACUGGGCUUAAAGGGUGCGUAGGCGGCCUUGUAAGUGUCUUGUGAAAUCCCCCGGCUCAACCGGGGAACCGCGGGACAUACUGCGAGGCUCGAGGAAGGUAGAGGCCGGUGGAACGAUAGGUGGAGCGGUGGAAUGCGUAGAGAUCUAUCGGAACGCCAAAGGUGAAGACAGCCGGCUGGGCCUUUCCUGACGCUGAGGCACGAAAGCGUGGGGAGCAAACCGG
This 253-nucleotide ribosomal RNA is filed under the name uncultured bacterium. Its description in RNAcentral is "partial 16S ribosomal RNA". It matches the Rfam family "Bacterial small subunit ribosomal RNA", at positions 524 to 776 of the family's 1533-position model. The record is from RNAcentral.